Molecule: ribosomal RNA, 497 nt
Filed under: uncultured bacterium
Lineage: Bacteria
Description: partial 16S ribosomal RNA
Rfam family: Bacterial small subunit ribosomal RNA
Source: RNAcentral
GAUGAACGCUGGCGGCGUGCCUAAUACAUGCGAGUCGAGCGAACGGACGAGAAGCUUGCUUCUCUGAUGUUAGCGGCGGACGGGUGAGUAACACGUGGAUAACCUACCUAUAAGACUGGGAUAACUUCGGGAAACCGGAGCUAAUACCGGAUAAUAUUUUGAACCGCAUGGUUCAAAAGUGAAAGACGGUCUUGCUGUCACUUAUAGAUGGAUCCGCGCUGCAUUAGCUAGUUGGUAAGGUAACGGCUUACCAAGGCAACGAUGCAUAGCCGACCUGAGAGGGUGAUCGGCCACACUGGAACUGAGACACGGUCCAGACUCCUACGGGAGGCAGCAGUAGGGAACCUUCCGCAAUGGGCGAAAGCCUGACGGAGCAACGCCGCGUGAGUGAUGAAGGUCUUCGGAUCGUAAAACUCUGUUAUUAGGGAAGAACAUAUGUGUAAGUAACUGUGCACAUCUUGACGGUACCUAAUCAGAAAGCCACGGCUAACUACGUG